Molecule: ribosomal RNA, 374 nt
Filed under: uncultured organism
Description: partial 16S ribosomal RNA
Rfam family: Bacterial small subunit ribosomal RNA
Source: RNAcentral
GUAGGUGGCAAGCGUUGUCCGGGAAUUAUUGGGGCGUAAAGCGCGCGCAGGCGGUUCUUUAAGUCUGAUGUGAAAGCCCACGGGCUCAACCGUGGAGGGUCAUUGGAAACUGGAGAACUUGAGUACAGAAGAGGAAAGCGGAAUUCCACGUGUAGCGGUGAAAUGCGUAGAGAUGUGGAGGAACACCAGUGGCGAAGGCGGCUUUCUGGUCUGUAACUGACGCUGAGGCGCGAAAGCGUGGGGAGCAAACAGGAUUAGAUACCCUGGUAGUCCACGCCGUAAACGAUGAGUGCUAAGUGUAGGGGUUUCCGCCCCUUAGUGCUGCAGCUAACGCAUUAAGCACUCCGCCUGGGGAGUACGGCCGCAAAGGCUGA